UGCGCACGGCUAAGAGUUAGAAUCGAAAUGGGUCCCUUCUAACUUAGAGUACUCUGUGAUUCCGUGAAUUGUAGCACUUGGCCAGCGUACACACACCGCUUCGUGCAUCAGGCAAAGGCUGCUCACUCGCAGCCCUCGGCUGCACCUUUGUGGUUAUACAGAAGCCUCUCGGGCGCGCUUUCCCCCAACGUGGCGCUGCUGUAUCGCAACCAAGCGACGGCCGCCUGCUGCAAAAGGUGCUGCAGUAAAGCGCCGCGGCACCGCCAUCUCCCAACGCCGCUGGAUCAGAGCCGCUGCGUGCGCCGGGCCGCGCUCCGCACACAGCCCCGGCCGAGCGACUUCCGUGCGUGGAUGCGCUCCCCGCCUCACAGGUAACCAGGCAACGGCGGGCGGGACCCUGCGCUCUCGCCGCCCUUUGAGGAACAAGAGCAUACAAGGAGACAGCUUUUAGCCGCGGCGGUGCGCGGAGAGCUGAGGCUGCGGCGAGCGGGACCCGGGGCCCCCGGUCGUGGGGCAGGCACACAGCCUGGCGGGGUCGAGCGGCCGCCAACCGCCAUCUUGCUUGCGGACGGGUACCCGAAACCAAGAUGGCGCUCGGGCGUUGAGCGCGGGGCUGGCGCUUCCCCGCCCAGAGCGGAAGUGACGAUUCGGCGGCGGCGGCGGCUGCCCCCCGCGCCCCUCCCGGUGGUUUUUGCUUUUCCCCGCGGGCUUCACGUCUUUUCCUCCGACGAGACGGAAAAUGGCCGCCCGGUUGCCGUAAGGGAGCGGGGCCGCCGGGAGUUCCGCCCGCUAGGACUCAGUAUUGCUGAAAGCACAAAUACAGAGUUUUGAAAUAAUUUCUUCAUUGAUAUCAACUAACAGUUUGAGGUAAGUUUAAUUAAAGUCCUUUUUAAACGUUCUGAUUGAACUCAGCAAUUGAAAAUUAAAUCUUAUUUUGCUUUCCUAUAUUUUAUGCUUGCAGUAAGAAGCUACAGUAUAUAAAACUGUCUUGUAAAGAUCAACUGUACUUGUCGUACAUAGAAUGCAAAUAAUUUAAAGCUGAGAUUGAGUUACAUUAUAAACAUUGUGCAUCUGAUGUUCGGUUUGAUAAUUACUUGCAACAGAUAAAACCCCACCAGGUUUUCUUUUCUGUCACUCUUGGAAAAUUGGCAUGUCUUAAAUAGUUUAAAAGGUCUAAAUUUAUGUUGCCUGUGUGUAUUCGUCCUAAGUGAUUGCAAGGCGUUUUCCGUCAACUUAAUUGAACUCAAUGAAUUAGAAAAUAUCUUCAGAGUAUAGGUUCUGCAAAUUUGCUCUUUAGUGGAAGGAGCCAGUAAAAAAGAGCAUUCAACAUACUCUUCUUCGCCAAGGUAAAUAGUUUUUUCUGAGUUAUGUGGAAGUCUGGUUUAAAUUCAGUUUUUGCUGGGCUGGUUUCAGAUGAGGUUACAUCUCUUAGGCCAUGCAAACUCUCAUGGGGAAAGUCAUGGGGGGCAGGAGGAACCAGUUGAUAGGAGGAAAGGUCAUCUGCUUUUCUCUUUUUGGUUCUCUUAGAUAUGUGUAAAGUCUCUGUAAUUUUGGUAACUUCAAUUUAAACUCUAAUGUUGUUUUUGUCCUUACAUAAUUGAAAUACCACCCAGGUAAUGAGAAAGAUGAUAUAAGAGAAAGUCCUUGUUGUGUUGAGCUAGUAUUUUUUAACGGUAAUUUAGGCUUUAAAGCCUGUUUGCAAUACAAGCGGUAAAUGUUUGAUUUUUUCCGUUUCUGUUUUAAUUUUAUUAUUAAACAAUUAUAAUUGAGCAUUCAAAGGCCUGAAAAUGUCUAGUUACUUGUUCAUAGCUUUUAUUCAGGUUGUCUAAUGUGACACUUGUUUUUGUUUUUUUUUAAAGCUGGGCAAUUUCAAAAGAAAAUGGUAAUGGGUCAAAGGUUUUAUUAAUUAAAUUGGGGAUUUUUAGCCACUGAUCCGAAAAGAAAAGGAAAAGGUGUGUAUUUUUUUAUGGUUAGCACUUAUUCUACAUAUCUAUUAUGACUGUACAUAGGAAGACGUGAUAGUUUAUUCUGAAUUACUGUCUUUUAAUUGUCAUUGAUUCAUAAUCAGUUGUAGUUUUCAUAGCUUAGUUUGUGCUGAAGUGUGUUGAAUCUUGUUGCAAGCCAUAUUGUUUAACUAGUUGUUAAAAUCUUUGUUGGCCAUGCAUUUUACAUGUAGGUUAAAACGCUAAGUUAGUCUAAAAAGAUGCAGGAUGGGCAUCUUGAGCAGUGGAAGUUCAGAUCAGAGGGGUGAGCUUUAGUACGUAUAGUUAAGAGAAAUAAUGCCUGUGGGUCAAAUUAACAGCUGCUAGACCAAAUACUUCAGGGCUUUUUCUUUGCUUGUGUGAAUGGUGCAUUGUUGAGGACUGUGAACUCCUCCUGGAGAAGGAACAGUGCAUUGGAAAUGCAAGAGAACUAUAAACAACACAAUAGCUAGAAUUUUGUUACAAUAUAUUAAGAUGUCCGGAAUUGCAUUAGUCUUUCCUUAAUUUGCAGAAAUGUUUCAUUUUCUGCUGCUUCCUUUCUCCUACAGUAUCUGUGUGCAGCUAAAUCCGGAAAAAACCUUUCACUGUUACACUUCAUGUUUUCAGAGAAAAUGUGUGCACUGCAGCAAUGUUAAAUCCUUUAAAAUGUGGUUAAGUUUUUAAUUUACUAAUAAAUGUACUUACACUGUCUCCA
This 2676-nucleotide long non-coding RNA is filed under the name Zonotrichia albicollis (white-throated sparrow). RNAcentral's name for it is "lncRNA (ENSZALG00000010657.1)". The record is from RNAcentral. Lineage: Eukaryota; Metazoa; Chordata; Aves; Passeriformes; Passerellidae.